Molecule: ribosomal RNA, 372 nt
Filed under: uncultured fungus
Lineage: Eukaryota; Fungi
Description: partial small subunit ribosomal RNA
Source: RNAcentral
GCUUGUCUCAAAGAUUAAGCCAAGUUUAAGUCCGGCAGAUAAAGUCUUGCUCGGUAAAUUAUUAGGUUUAUAUGAGGCGUUGACGGCGGUAUAUCCGGAUCGUCCACGUGGUUUCAUUCAUUCCGAUCUGUUCCGGGAUAAUACCUUGUUUGAAGGCGAUCAGCUGAAUGGCAUUCUGGAUUUUUAUGAGCUGAAUAAAGAUGAGUGGUUGUUUGAUAUCGCCAUUACGUUAAAUGACUUCUGUACCGAAUAUCCUGACGUAAUCUUAAACGAAGAAAAAGCGAUUGCCUUUUUAAAUGCCUAUGAAACGAUUCGUUCUUUAACCAGUGAUGAACGCGCUUGUCUGGAAUUGUAUCUGGCUAUGGCAGCAGG